ACCUCGUGGUUUGGACAAUGCAUUAGUUUUUCAUUGAAUCUUUCCCAUGCUUCAUACAAAGUCUCUUCAUUCAAUUUUCUAAUGUUAAUGAUUUCAUCCCUCAGUU
Capsicum annuum is the source of this 106-nucleotide non-coding RNA. Lineage: Eukaryota; Viridiplantae; Streptophyta; Magnoliopsida; Solanales; Solanaceae. The record is from Rfam.